GGUUCAUUACAUAGAGUGAAUAGAUUGUAAUGGGGAAGAGAAGAUUUCUUUCCAAAUUUGUAUUACAUAGCGAUCUUCAGACUUGAGGUUUUUAGCCCAGAGGGCGGCUUCAUGUAUACAUCGCUGUAGGCAUGAGGUGAUGGAGGGAGUUUGCCCUCUGAAGACAACAUCAUGCCUAUGAUUCCACAGUGCCCAAAAACAGAGUAGAUAAAAGACUUGAUAGUGCAGAAUUGGUAUUCGUGAACCUGGCUUGUGCUGAUGGAACUGAGCCACAUCCUGGAUCAUCGGUUGAACCCCAAUUUUAUCCCAAAAACUUUUAGCAAAGGGGCAAAAGAAGCACAGGUGGCUUGCUGUUUCAGUAGCGCCAUUGCAAAUGUCACAGAUGUCAUUUGGCACAAUUGUCUUCUUGUGUAGGUUUUUCUUUGUCGACAAACGAUCUUUUACUAGCAGCCAGGCGAAGAACUUCACUUUGAGGGGGGCUUUGCACUUCCAGAUGGCGUCCCAAAGGGGAGAAACGAUUCCCGGGUGAAGGAUUGUAGAGCCGCCUGUAGCCUUUGUAGUUCGAGAUUUGCGGUCACAGUAAGACGUGGAACAAGACUUGAGACUAAACCCCUCUGCAUGACAUUUCUGACAGUAUCAUCCUUGUUAAGGGCAUGAGUGUAUAGCGGCAUAAACACAUUUGCCAGGGCUGGCUUGGAGAUCCAGCAGUCAUGCCAGAAAGAAGUUCUAGCCCCAUCUCCCACUUGAACCGAAGUGAGGUGUUGUAACUCAGGUAUCAAUUUUUGCAUAGAGGACCAAUGCGGACCUAAUGGCAGAGAUUUUAGCAGAGAA
Non-coding RNA from Oryza sativa Japonica Group (Japanese rice), 831 nucleotides. NCBI's taxonomy places the organism in Eukaryota, Viridiplantae, Streptophyta, Magnoliopsida, Poales, Poaceae. The record is from RefSeq and is a predicted model, not a curated record.